UGGGGAAUAUUGGACAAUGGGGGGAACCCUGAUCCAGCCAUGCCGCGUGUGUGAAGAAGGCCUUUUGGUUGUAAAGCACUUUAAGCGAGGAGGAGGCUCCUAUAGAUAAUACCUAUAGUGAGUGGACGUUACUCGCAGAAUAAGCACCGGCUAACUCUGUGCCAGCAGCCGCGGUAAUACAGAGGGUGCGAGCGUUAAUCGGAUUUACUGGGCGUAAAGCGUACGUAGGCGGCUUUUUAAGUCGGAUGUGAAAUCCCUGAGCUUAACUUAGGAAUUGCAUUCGAUACUGGGAAGCUAGAGUAUGGGAGAGGAUGGUAGAAUUCCAGGUGUAGCGGUGAAAUGCGUAGAGAUCUGGAGGAAUACCGAUGGCGAAGGCAGCCAUCUGGCCUAAUACUGACGCUGAGGUACGAAAGCAUGGGGAGCAAACAGG
RNAcentral lists this ribosomal RNA (430 nucleotides) under uncultured Acinetobacter sp. RNAcentral describes it as "bacterial SSU rRNA". It matches the Rfam family "Bacterial small subunit ribosomal RNA", at positions 355 to 776 of the family's 1533-position model. Lineage: Bacteria; Pseudomonadati; Pseudomonadota; Gammaproteobacteria; Moraxellales; Moraxellaceae. The record is from RNAcentral.